Molecule: ribosomal RNA, 305 nt
Filed under: uncultured bacterium
Lineage: Bacteria
Description: bacterial SSU rRNA
Rfam family: Bacterial small subunit ribosomal RNA
Source: RNAcentral
UUUGCCUACGGGACGCAGCAGUGGGGAAUAUUGCACAAUGGGGGAAACCCUGAUGCAGCAACGCCGCGUGAAGGAAGACGGUUUUCGGAUUGUAAACUUCUGUUCUUAGUGAAGAAAAAUGACGGUAGCUAAGGAGCAAGCCACGGCUAACUACGUGCCAGCAGCCGCGGUAAUACGUAGGUGGCAAGCGUUGUCCGGAAUUACUGGGUGUAAAGGGAGCGCAGGCGGGAAGCCAAGUCAGCUGUGAAAACUAAGGGCUUAAAUUGUAGACUGGAGUUGAAAAUGGUUUUCUUGAGUGAAGUAGA